AUGACGGCCGGUGCUGUGACAGGAGGCCACCUCCCUGGCCAUGGAUAUUUGUUGAUGGACGAGAUGCUGGAUCCUGCCUCGACAGGAGCUGCAAUUUGGCGAGAUUUCUUGCUACAACGAGUUUGUUGUUUUGCUGGAAUCAAAAUCAUUUUUGCUACGAUCCUACAAUUGGGGUACUUUUUUGUUGGAUCCAGUCUAAAUGUUUGCUACACUGUCUCUUGUUUUUGCUACCAGCGUCCUUCUGAUUUUUUGCACCACCUGCCCUUGAAUUUUUUGUUGGAAUCACUACAAAUGUUUGCUACAACCAUCUUCGUUGUUGCUACUGUCCCCGUCUUUGAUUUUUUUUUGCUUCGAUCCAUCUUUUUGUUGGAACCACUCAAAAAUUUGUUACCAAUGUCUUUGAUUUUUGCUACCACCCACGUCUUUUGA
RNAcentral lists this ribosomal RNA (429 nucleotides) under Triticum aestivum (bread wheat). Its description in RNAcentral is "partial small subunit ribosomal RNA". The record is from RNAcentral. Lineage: Eukaryota; Viridiplantae; Streptophyta; Magnoliopsida; Poales; Poaceae.